This 498-nucleotide ribosomal RNA is filed under the name uncultured bacterium. RNAcentral's name for it is "partial 16S ribosomal RNA". It matches the Rfam family "Bacterial small subunit ribosomal RNA", at positions 30 to 523 of the family's 1533-position model. The record is from RNAcentral.
AUUGAACGCUGGCGGCAUGCUUUACACAUGCAAGUCGAACGGUAACAGGCCGCAAGGUGCUGACGAGUGGCGAACGGGUGAGUAAUGCAUCGGAACGUGCCCAGUCGUGGGGGAUAACGCAGCGAAAGCUGUGCUAAUACCGCAUACGAUCUAUGGAUGAAAGCGGGGAACCGUAAGGCCUCGCGCGAUUGGAGCGGCCGAUGUCAGAUUAGGUAGUUGGUGGGGGAAAGGCUCACCAAGCCAACGAUCUGUAGCUGGUCUGAGAGGACGACCAGCCACACUGGGACUGAGACACGGCCCAGACUCCUACGGGAGGCAGCAGUGGGGAAUUUUGGACAAUGGGCGCAAGCCUGAUCCAGCAAUGCCGCGUGCAGGAAGAAGGCCUUCGGGUUGUAAACUGCUUUUGUACGGAACGAAAAGGUUUGGGUUAAUACCCUGGGCCGAUGACGGUACCGUAAGAAUAAGCACCGGCUAACUACGUGCCAGCCGCCGCAGUAA